AUGCACUAAAGCUUUGUCCUUACGGAAAAGCGCAUUUAUUAGAACAAAACCACGCGGCUUCGGCUGCUUCUUGUUGACUCAGAAUAACUUAGCUGACCGCAUGGCCUUGUGCCGGCGGCGUGUCUUUCAAGCGUCCACUUUAUCAACUUGACGGGAGCAUAAUCGACUCCCGUGGUGGUGACGGAUAACGGAGGAUCAGGGUUCGACUCCGGAGAAGGGGCCUGAGAAAUGGCCACUACGUCUAAGGAUGGCAGCAGGCGCGCAAAUUACCCACUCUCGGCUCGAGGAGGUAGUGACGAGAAAUAACGAGACUGUUCUCUUUGAGGCCGGUCAUCGGAAUGGGUACAAUUUAAACCCUUUAACGAGUAUCAAGCAGAGGGCAAGUCUGGUGCCAGCAGCCGCGGUAAUUCCAGCUCUGCAAAUACAUAGAAUUAUUGCUGCGGUUAGAAAGCUCAUAGUUGGAUUCGUAUCGAUACCUUGGAACCCUUCGGGUGUCUCUAGGUGUUAUCGAUUUAUCGUAAUGUUCGGUUUUGAGUCCUUAACAGGAUUCUUAACAGGCAUUGCAAGUUUACUUUGAACAAAUCAGAGUGCUUCAAACAGGCGUUUUCGCUUGAAUGAUCGUGCAUGGAAUAAUAGAAAAUGAUUUCGGUUCAGUUUUAUUGGUUUUACGGACUGAGAUAAUGGUUAACAGAGACAAACGGGGGCAUUUGUAUGGUCCCGUGAGAGGUGAAAUUCUUGGACCGUGGCCAGACAAACUACAGCGAAAGCAUUUGCCAAGAAUGUUUUUAUUAAUCAAGAACGAAAGUCAGAGGUUCGAAGGCGAUCAGAUACCGCCCUAGUUCUGACCGUAAACGAUGCCAACUAGCGAUCCGCCGAUGGAAAUUAUAUUGCCUUGGUGGGGAGCUUCCCGGAAACGAAAGUCUUCCGGUUCCGGGGGAAGUAUGGUUGCAAAGCUGAAACUUAAAGGAAUUGACGGAAGGGCACCACCAGGAGUGGAGCCUGCGGCUUAAUUUGACUCAACACGGGGAAACUCACCCGGCCCGGACACUGUGAGGAUUGACAGAUUGAUAGCUUUUUCAUGAUUCAGUGGAUGGUGGUGCAUGGCCGUUCUUAGUUCGUGGAGUGAUUUGUCUGGUUUAUUCCGAUAACGAGCGAGACUCUAACCUACUAAAUAGUUGGUACAUACUCUUAGUGUAUACAGCUUCUUAGAGGGAUUUGCGGCGUUCAGCCGAAAGAAAUUGAGCAAUAACAGGUCUGUGAUGCCCUUAGAUGUCCGGGGCUGCACGCGCGCUACACUGGCAAAAUCAACGUGCUUGUCCUACCCUGAAAGGGGCGGGUAAACCAUUGAAAAUUUGCCGUGAUUGGGAUCGGAAAUUGCAAUUAUUUUCCGUGAACGAGGAAUUCCAAGUAAGUGCGAGUCAUCAGCUCGCGUUGAUUACGUCCCUGCCCUUUGUACACACCGCCCGUCGCUGCCCGGGACUGAGCCAUUUCGAGAAAUUUGGGGACCGUUGAUUUAAUUUUUCUAAAUUACUUUGAUGGAAACCAAUUUAAUCGCAGUGGCUUGAACCGGGC
RNAcentral lists this ribosomal RNA (1572 nucleotides) under Meloidogyne lopezi. RNAcentral's name for it is "SSU rRNA". It matches the Rfam family "Eukaryotic small subunit ribosomal RNA", at positions 171 to 1783 of the family's 1831-position model. The record is from RNAcentral. Lineage: Eukaryota; Metazoa; Nematoda; Chromadorea; Rhabditida; Meloidogynidae.